Molecule: long non-coding RNA, 202 nt
Filed under: Trifolium pratense (red clover)
Lineage: Eukaryota; Viridiplantae; Streptophyta; Magnoliopsida; Fabales; Fabaceae
Description: long non-coding RNA (TPRA_LNC012337)
Source: RNAcentral
GGCAAUAUUAUUUUAAAUUAAAUUUCAAAUUUUAAUGAUGUGGAGUUAUUGAUGGGACCCAUUUUAGAACUUUUUAAGAAAUGCUCCAUUGGAGGGGUUGAGUACCUAUUAGGUACUAUUAUUAAAAAAAUAAUAAAUUGAUGAUGUGUCUAUGUGGACCAUUUAAGUACUCAAAAAUGGAGUGCUCCAUUGUGGAUGCUCU